This 319-nucleotide ribosomal RNA is filed under the name uncultured soil bacterium. RNAcentral describes it as "bacterial SSU rRNA". It matches the Rfam family "Bacterial small subunit ribosomal RNA", at positions 25 to 347 of the family's 1533-position model. The record is from RNAcentral.
CAGAUUGAACGCUGGCGGAAUGCUUUACACAUGCAAGUCGAACGGCAGCACGGGGGCAACCCUGGUGGCGAGUGGCGAACGGGUGAGUAAUACAUCGGAACGUGCCCAGUCGUGGGGGAUAACUACGCGAAAGCGUAGCUAAUACCGCAUACGAUCUACGGAUGAAAGCGGGGGAUCGCAAGACCUCGCGCGAUUGGAGCGGCCGAUGGCAGAUUAGGUAGUUGGUGGGUAAAGGCUCACCAAGCCUGCGAUCUGUAGCUGGUCUGAGAGGACGACCAGCCACACUGGGACUGAGACACGGCCAGACUCCGUACGGGAG